GGACUGGUAGCUGAGACGGUUUAGCAUCUGGUUGAAGGCCAGAAGACGAGGAUUCGAGCGCCUCCCAGUCCA
This 72-nucleotide transfer RNA is filed under the name Mariniblastus sp. Its description in RNAcentral is "tRNA-Phe". It matches the Rfam family "tRNA". From Rfam's summary of the family: Transfer RNA (tRNA) molecules are approximately 80 nucleotides in length. Lineage: Bacteria; Pseudomonadati; Planctomycetota; Planctomycetia; Pirellulales; Pirellulaceae. The record is from RNAcentral.